GAUGAACGCUGGCGGCGUGCCUAAUACAUGCAAGUCGAGCGCACAGACUAGGAGCUUGCUCCUCUGACGUUAGCGGCGGACGUGUGAGUAACACGUGGAUAACCUACCUAUAAGACUGGGAUAACUUCGGGAAACCGGAGCUAGUACCGUAUUAUCUCUUGAACCGCAUUGUUCAAUGGUGAAAGACGGUUUUGUUGUCACUUAUCGCUGGAUCGGCGACGUAUUAGCUAGUUGGUAAGGUAACGGCUUACCAAGGCAACGAUGCGUAGCCGACCUGAGAGGGUGAUCGGCCACACGGGAACGGGGACACGGGCCGGACUCCUACGGGAGGCAGCAGUGGGGAAUCUUGGGAAAUGGGCGAAAGCCUGACGGGGCAAGGCCGCGGGGGUGAGGAAGGUCUUCGGAUGGUAAGACUCGGUUAUUAGGGAAGAAGAAAUGUGGAAGUAACUAUGCACGUCUUGACGGUACCUAAUCAGAAAGGCACGGCUAACUACGUG
RNAcentral lists this ribosomal RNA (497 nucleotides) under uncultured bacterium. RNAcentral's name for it is "partial 16S ribosomal RNA". It matches the Rfam family "Bacterial small subunit ribosomal RNA", at positions 28 to 507 of the family's 1533-position model. The record is from RNAcentral.